AGUGAACGCUGGCGGUAGGCCUAACACAUGCAAGUCGAACGGCAGCACAGUAAGAGCUUGCUCUUACGGGUGGCGAGUGGCGGACGGGUGAGGAAUACAUCGGAAUCUACUUUUUCGUGGGGGAUAACGUAGGAAAACUUACGCUAAUACCGCAUACGACCUACGGGUGAAAGCAGGGGAUCUUCGGACCUUGCGCGAUUGAAUGAGCCGAUGUCGGAUUAGCUAGUUGGCGGGGUAAAGGCCCACCAAGGCGACGAUCCGUAGCUGGUCUGAGAGGAUGAUCAGCCACACUGGAACUGAGACACGGUCCAGACUCCUACGGGAGGCAGCAGUGGGGAAUAUUGGACAAUGGGCGCAAGCCUGAUCCAGCCAUACCGCGUGGGUGAAGAAGGCCUUCGGGUUGUAAAGCCCUUUUGUUGGGAAAGAAAAGCAGCAGGUUAAUACCCCGCUGUUCUGACGGUACCCAAAGAAUAAGCACCGGCUAACUACGUG
This 492-nucleotide ribosomal RNA is filed under the name uncultured bacterium. Its description in RNAcentral is "partial 16S ribosomal RNA". It matches the Rfam family "Bacterial small subunit ribosomal RNA", at positions 29 to 507 of the family's 1533-position model. The record is from RNAcentral.